This 150-nucleotide unclassified non-coding RNA is filed under the name soil metagenome. RNAcentral's name for it is "partial internal transcribed spacer 1". The record is from RNAcentral.
CAAGAAGAGACCCUAACCGGUCCUCUCAACCCUGCCCAUCGUACCUUUUUUGUUGUUCCCUCGGCGGUGCUCGCGGGCCCGCCGGCGGGAAGACCAAACAAACCCUUUGCAAACAAGCAUACCGAAUCUCUGAUCAAACAUGAAUUGUCA